AUGCCUUACGAUGAGCGGUACACACCGUACAUCAAGCAGGCAGGACUACUCCCGUGGAUUCUGUUGGUCAGCCGGUCCACGCCGAAUCUGAACACUCCACUAGUGUCCGCUCUUGUUGAUCGGUGGAGGCCAGAGACCCACAGUUUCCAUCUUUGGACCGGGGAGAUGACCGUGACGCUCGAGGAUGUCUCGUUGAUCACCGGUCUUGCUAUCGACGGGAGGCCUCUAUGUAUGAGCACCGAUUCUGAUGGGUGGCGCGAGCACCGAUAA
RNAcentral lists this ribosomal RNA (270 nucleotides) under Triticum aestivum (bread wheat). RNAcentral's name for it is "partial small subunit ribosomal RNA". The record is from RNAcentral. Lineage: Eukaryota; Viridiplantae; Streptophyta; Magnoliopsida; Poales; Poaceae.